Molecule: long non-coding RNA, 3589 nt
Organism: Lagopus leucura (white-tailed ptarmigan)
Lineage: Eukaryota; Metazoa; Chordata; Aves; Galliformes; Phasianidae
Exons: 15
Source: RefSeq, a predicted model, not a curated record
AGUCACUGCUCUGAAGAGUUUUCAAACCACUGAGGCAGGCAUAACUUCAGAGAAUGGAUACUGCAGCAGCAGAUUUUUUUUCUGAAGUGCAGCUGCUGAACCAUGACAUUCAGGAAUGAUUCUUUUUUAGAGAAGUCAAAAUUAUGUGCUCUUUGGGGCUGAACGUACCAAAGAAUUCAGUAACCUUUUAAACAUUUCAGCGAGUCACUGGGUUUGGAGUGUUCUGUGUAUUCAGUUUUUCCUAUCUGGUCAGCAGUUUAUUGCAGAAGUGUUAUGUAGGCUGCACUGGCAGGUUUGAAAAGAAGAGUAGCUGUAAUACAUCCUUUCUCCACACUUUCAGGUUUCUAAAACCAUCGGCUCAGUAGACUUGGCAUCUUGACUUCACCUGGGAACACUGCAGGAUCUCACUGUUUGACUUGCCUGUAUGCUUAACCCUGCAGAGACGUGCUUGUCAGAGAUCAGUAAAUCAUCAUCUCACCGUCCUCCAUCCCCAGUAUGGCAGAGUGGAAGGAAGGAGAGCACCAGGAUUUGGAGGAAUGGCUCUCAUAAUAGAAAGAGGCUCCUGCUUAGAAAGGAUCAGAACUCAAGAGAAGUCUGGAUGACCUUACAGAUCCAUUAGGGUACUGUCCUAGGGAAGAAAUGGGUCUCAUGCUGUGCUCUGAAAGCUGCAAACAGGAAAUUUAUUGUGCUGAUGCCACUAUUGAGUGCCAAAAAUAGCUAUGGACACUUGAAUUGCAUCUCUUUAACCCUUCUGCGGUCUGCGCACAGAAUUUUGUUUAUUUCUUGUGUCACUACUGGAAUAACAGGCAGAGGAAGAUAUGUUCUCCAUCUGCUAUGUUUCAUUGCUGCAAAGCUGGGAAGGCUUGUUCCUACUGGCAAUUUACUGGAAAAUAUCUAACACUAGACCAAAAUGCAUGCAACUAUUUUAUACUCCAGGCAGUCUCAUCUGCAGAGUAGAAUCAUGGAAUCACUAAGACUGGAAAAGACUAGAAAAGAAAUUCUUCCUAAUAUCCAGCAAAGUUAACGUAAAUCUGAAAAAGUGAAAAUACCUGAUUCAGAUGGAUACAUAAUACUGUUGCUAUCUAACAUUUCCCUUGUUGAUUUUCCUGCUGCCUGGUAAAGUUCAUAUGCUUACAAAAAGAGUUCAGUGAUUGACUCAUGAUACUGCUGCCACGGUUUAAUAAAGAACUGAAUUGAACUUUUUCACAAUUACAUUGUAGCAGGAAGCGGCACCAGAGUUGAUUGGUCGAGUGAUGAUCGAAAAUGGUAGUGUUGAAUUUCUCCACUUGGUGGCACUAAGAAAUAACGCAACUGCCCUUGUAACGAGGCUGUGAAACGUGGCCAGGUGGUUGGGGAUAACUGAGCACAGUGACCCUGGGAAAGGAAGACAUCAAGUGAGCCGAAAUCCCAUCACUGUUUUGCUUAUCAGAAGUGUUAUAAGUUUUCAGCAGGGAGCACACCAGUUGGGAUAUUAUCUCUGCUCCAGGACAUGCAGAGCAAAUCUCUUCCCGUGUUGUUGAGUCUGAUGACAGAUGUUUUGCACUUCUCUUACAUUUGCUACUUGCUUCAGAGUGAGGUGUACCUAGGAGCAAUUUUGCUGGAGUCUGGAAGGAGGGAGCCACAAAGCCCUCAUCUCCAAUGCUUCAUUUCAGGCAACAUUGGAGAGUUUCUCUUGGACAAGGAGAUUUGCAUGAAUCUCCCUGGGGAGCGCCUCAGUGUAAAUAUUAUUGCCUGCUUGGGAGAAGAGAUGCAGUAGAGCCAUGUAAGGAAUAAACUUGCUCUGAGGGGAUGGCUUUACUGACUUACAACCACUGCUAGCACAGAAAAUGAACAAACUGGACCUAGCAUUUAUCCAGGUUCUUUUGCUUCUUGGUUAAUAAUACCCAGUAAAGGUCAAGUACAUAUGAACGGAUUUCAUUUGUGGUUACAUUCAUGCUCUCUGGUGCAGCUCCUGCUGUGGACCUGCACUGAAAUACUGUUUUUUUUCUCUCCUUUUGCACAAGCUUUUUCUGGCUAGGGUUGUUUAUUCAGAACUGAACGCUGUUUUUCUGCCUGUAUUUUUUUUCCCUUAUCAGUUCUUUCCAUAGUAUGUCUAUGAGUCCCAUUAAAUCCCCUUUCAGAACAAACAUACAAAAAAUGAUAAUAAUUAGCCUCUGCCUUUUAAACAAGGAGAAGUUUUCAGAGCUAAAAAGGCUCUUCCGACAAAAAGGGAACAGACAUUUGAAAAACAGUGCUCUUGUAUAUUUUCCCUGUAUUUCCAGGACUAAGGCUAUGCCUGUGCUAGCAAGUAGUAUGGUUGAGUAGGAGUGAAUCUGCAGCAGCAAAGCAGCCAGUGCUGAGGACUCAGUGUGCACCUAUCUAUAUUUUUUAGCUAGUGAUCUCAGGCUUGUGUCUGCCUUGGGUAAAAGGGGCAGCGGAGGCUGGAUCACCACUGGAAGAAGAUGCUCCAGCAAUGUGAGCAGGAGAAUGGUGUAUGCAGAGCACUGGAACAUCCUCUACAGGAUAGGUCUUUGUGAUUGCAUGAGAACUGCUGAGUCACGGCCUGACCCUCUGAUUGAUCACCUGAGUCAAGCCCCUCCAAACUAGCUAUCAGCUAUUCUAACAAAGGCUGAAACAGGAACAGAAGAGAGCUCAAUGAAAGAUGUGUCUAUGGAAAAUAUUACCAACUGUGAACUGGUUAUAUGCCCCCACUAGAAACAAAAAGCAGUACUGAAUGACAAUUAUUUCAAAAAGAAAACCAAACUGUGGGCCAGAUGAUCCCCUUUAGAUACUGAAAAGCCAACUCGACAUUCUCCAGGCUGAACAGCCCAAGCUCUCUCAGCCCUUUCUCACAGAGGACAUGUUCCAUCCCUUGGAUCACUUUUUGUGGUGUUCCUCUGGACACAAUCCAACAGGUCUAUGUCUCUUCCAUGGACUUCACAUCUGGACACAGUAUUCCAGGAGCUGUCCCAGUGAAACAUCUAGUUGAACAUGUGAGUUCCAGCUAAUACAAGCUUUCCAGUUCAGUGUCACUGGGACUUGGGCCUUUGGUUUGGGACUAGACAGCAAAGCAAUGUGAUUGGAGCAACAGAGACAACUCCAUUGUGUUUCCAGUGCUCAAGCCUAUGGGGAGCUUUCAGGCAAGAGAUUUUCCUUUGCAGAGUGACUUAACUUUGGGCCCAAAUAGGCUGUCAGAAGACUGGAGUGCUAAAAAAGGCAGAACCUUCAGUAGCCCUCUCUGCCCCUCAGGGAUCUGUGAGACACGGGGCCACAGCUGCCACUCGUCUCCCUUCCAGCAAAAGGACUCGAAUUCACAGAGGAAAAAUUUAAGUUAGUUCUGUCCUGGUACAGAAACAGCCAAAGGCACCAUCGAAGAUGUUCAGAAUUACUCUUUGCAUCAUCUGAUUUCUUUAUACAUGGCUCCUAAGAAAACUUUACAUAUGAACUGAACUUCAAGUCAGAUUUCAGUGGUAAUAUCCACCACCCCUACAUAUGCAAGUUUGAGGCUUUACUAAAAAGGUCUUAAAUGUAGCUCUAAACUGGAAGAAAAUUUGCAUUCUUGCAACUACCAAAAUGAUGCCAGCUCAAUAAAGCUCAUUUGGAUCCUCCA